RNAcentral lists this non-coding RNA (33 nucleotides) under Cervus elaphus hippelaphus. Lineage: Eukaryota; Metazoa; Chordata; Mammalia; Artiodactyla; Cervidae. The record is from RNAcentral.
UUCUCACUACUGCACUUGACUAGUCUAAAAAAA